This 492-nucleotide ribosomal RNA is filed under the name uncultured bacterium. RNAcentral's name for it is "partial 16S ribosomal RNA". It matches the Rfam family "Bacterial small subunit ribosomal RNA", at positions 29 to 507 of the family's 1533-position model. The record is from RNAcentral.
AGUGAACGCUGGCGGUAGGCCUAACACAUGCAAGUCGAACGGCAGCACAGUAAGAGCUUGCUCUUACGGGUGGCGAGUGGCGGACGGGUGAGGAAUACAUCGGAAUCUACUUUUUCGUGGGGGAUAACGUAGGGAAACUUACGCUAAUACCGCAUACGACCUCCGGGUGAAAGCAGGGGAUCUUCGGACCUUGCGCGAUUGAAUGAGCCGAUGUCGGAUUAGCUAGUUGGCGGGGUAAAGGCCCACCAAGGCGACGAUCCGUAGCUGGCCUGAGAGGAUGAUCAGCCACACUGGAACUGAGACACGGUCCAGACUCCUACGGGAGGCAGCAGUGGGGAAUAUUGGACAAUGGGCGCAAGCCUGAUCCAGCCAUACCGCGUGGGUGAAGAAGGCCUUCGGGUUGUAAAGCCCUUUUGUUGGGAAAGAAAAGCAGCAGGUUAAUACCCCGCUGUUCUGACGGUACCCAAAGAAUAAGCACCGGCUAACUUCGUG